UCUGGACUCUCAGUCUUUUUCUUCUGGUUUCUUCGAUCUUUGAUCUCUUAUGAGUUGUCUGGCCAAAAUAUUGGUUGAAUCUAUGUGAUUCAUGUUGCUACAGUAAUCAAGCCUGAAAUAGUGGCUGAUUGGGUGUCUGUAGUGUUUGCCUGAAAGUUUUAUUCGUGUUUUUUGGUUAGGUCUUGAGAUUUAAGAGAUCCAUGUGUGGAUCAAUGACUAUUUCUUGGUCUGAUUGAGUUUUUCAGAUCUGUACUCCCUUUUUGGACAGUUUUUGUGUGCUUAGUAAUCUGGCUAAUCUCUGAGCCUCCCCAAAUUAGGCGAUUGCCGAACUGGGGGAACAAUUUAUUGUGUUCAUUUACGUUUCUUGCACCGUGAUUGAUGCUUUAUUUACUGCUUUCUUUAACUAUAAGAGGGAUGAAAACCUUACACUUUUGGAAUUAAAUUCUACAAGAUUCACCAACACUUGUAGGUAUGAAUAUGUGUUUAUAUUUAUAUGGUUUACAUGUCUCUAUAUACUUUACUGCUAUUUACGAAUUUAGCCUCUGAAAUGGAUUAAUCUAUAAUAUUUACUCAUUUGACGGUAUCAUUACGUUAUAUAUCAUUUAAAUUGGUGCUCUUUUCAUUUGCUCAGACCUUAUAUUAAAAUUUUAAUAACCUUAUUUAACAAUUUUGUAAUUUAGUAAAAGCGCAGUGGAAUUCUGAUGGCAAUCCAAUUUCCUCAUUUUUCACAAUAUUUAUGUAUCAAAGAUGCACGCUUUCAGUUGCUGAAAACUCUAUCUUACUUAAUAUAACAUUCCACCGAUCUUUUGCUCUUGCUUUCUGAUAUUUUUAUUUAAGAAACUAACUUAUUCUUAUGGAGUUUGGUUCUUUUUGACCAACUAUAUUGCUAACUAUCAAAUUAAGUGGUGUCAUUAAUUUAAGAGAAAAUGCAGUAGAUGCUAUGUUUUGAUACGCUGUUUAUGUAAACAUGAAUGAGUAGAAAUGCAAAGGGUUUAAAAAGUUGCACUAUGUUAAUUUUAUGCCGAUGCGCAUUACUUAAUUGAGGCACUGUUCACCGUGUUAGAGAAUUGAGGUAUUUAGUACUAAUACUUGGAGCACAAUUAAAUGGUACAAUUAUAAUUUUUUUUUAGUAAUGUCGACUAUGAAGGCGAAUAAAUAAAUAAAUUAAUGGUAAUCAACUAGGAUCCAUGGCACAUUGACUUCGUGGGAGGCUAAUGAAAUGUCCAUUUGCCAUUGUAAAAGUAAAUUGUUAGGAAUCAAGGUAAGUAAAAUAUGUUACCUAAAUUUGUUAUUAUGUGAUUUUGAUAUUGAAUUAUUACGUUUUAUAUUAUUAAUGCUACUCAUGACAUUUUCAUGCAUGUUAAUGCAUCCAUAAGCAUACAUGAAGUUUCAAGGAAUAAAAAGCUUUCAAAUGUCACGAGUCAAUGAAUGUUUUAAAAAUAUAUGUAUUUCGAAUAUUUUUAUUACGAGGUGUAUGUCUAUAUCAUGAAUGGUAUAAAUUAGAAAUGGGGCGUGAGAGAUCGGCGCACCCGACCAAUGUUCAAUGAUAAUGUUAAUGUUAACCACUUUGCGGUACUACUGUUGGACUCGUCUGGGUUCCAAAUAAUAAUUGCCCACUGCAUUUUGAUUGAUUAGACGAUACACCAAGUGAGCUCACAAUGUCAGUGUUAAGUUUUUAAACAAAUGAAAGAAAUAAGAUACAUAUUGAAAAAUGUUUUUAUUUUAAAGUUAUUCAUACACAUAUCUUAAACAUACAUCACUAGCAUGAGGUUUGCUUAAUCAGAGUUAGCUCAUUCCACGUUAUCCCUCAUCAUUUCAGAAUGAUGAAAGCAAGAGAUUCAAGACGACAACUUGCGGUGCGACAAACUCAGUACUGCAACACUUAAAUAUUGACUUCCUUUUGGAAAAAAGUUAAGUUUUAAAUUUUAUUGUCUUAUAUUUUAUCAAGUACAAUUUUUUAUUAAAUGAAGUUGUUAAUUUUUAUCAUGUUUAAGAAAAUAAGAAAUCACUUUACCACAUUUAUGAUUUUAAGGGGACAUUAGAUGAUAAUACUUUUAGAUUUUGGUAUUUAGAUUUGGGAGUGUUACAUCUACAAUAUAGGACUAUGUUAUUUGAUAGAUUUGAUCAACACACUUGGGCUAAAAUUUAAUUUAAUACAUUAUUUUCAAGAUUGUGCUAUUAAUUCAUGCUAGAUCUUCUCAUCCUGUUGGACUAUCCUUUGGUUUGAAUUUAUUGAUCUCAAGUCUUCUUGAUUACUUAAAUUGUCUCAAUUGAUUUCGAAUUUACGUGUGGAUUCACAACCUUAUUAUACCAAUAUUUUAUGAUCUCCUUAUCAUUCCUUUGAUGCUCAUCAUUUCUGCUGCCAAAUCAAGUGACGUUGCUAACAAAAGGACAUUUCACGUGAGAGUAUCCACUAGUAUUGGUAGUAUAGAAGCUGAGGUGUGAGGUUGUUUGAGUAGUAUUCAGAAAAUAUUUGCUUCUAUGUUUAUUUAUUUAUAUUUUUUUAAUAUGUGAUGGCUUCCAAUUGGUGUAGAUUGUCUGGGAGAAACAACUGAAAGAGGCUGCUUCUCUCAAUCGCUCUUGAUUCUAAACAAGGUACUUUCUCAAUGUUGUAUGUUCAAAUUAUUAAAGACUUCUCGGGAUAUUUAAAGGUCAAUCUUGUUUACAAG
Molecule: long non-coding RNA, 2669 nt
Filed under: Olea europaea subsp. europaea
Lineage: Eukaryota; Viridiplantae; Streptophyta; Magnoliopsida; Lamiales; Oleaceae
Source: RNAcentral